This 252-nucleotide ribosomal RNA is filed under the name Gammaproteobacteria bacterium. RNAcentral describes it as "partial 23S ribosomal RNA". It matches the Rfam family "Bacterial large subunit ribosomal RNA", at positions 2683 to 2925 of the family's 2925-position model. The record is from RNAcentral. Lineage: Bacteria; Pseudomonadati; Pseudomonadota; Gammaproteobacteria.
ACGAGAGGACCGGAGUGGACGAACCUCUGGUGUUCCGGUUGUCACGCCAGUGGCACUGCCGGGUAGCUAUGUUCGGACGGGAUAACCGCUGAAAGCAUCUAAGCGGGAAGCCCACCUCAAGAUGAGAUCUCACCAAAUCAUUCCGAUUUCUGAAGGGCCCUCGAAGACUACGAGGUUGAUAGGCAGGGUGUGUAAGCGCUGCGAGGCGUUGAGCUAACCUGUACUAAUUGCCCGUGCGGCUUGACCAUAUAA